RNAcentral lists this ribosomal RNA (404 nucleotides) under Actinomycetes bacterium. RNAcentral's name for it is "Actinobacteria bacterium partial 16S ribosomal RNA". It matches the Rfam family "Bacterial small subunit ribosomal RNA", at positions 355 to 776 of the family's 1533-position model. Lineage: Bacteria; Bacillati; Actinomycetota; Actinomycetes. The record is from RNAcentral.
UGGGGAAUAUUGGACAAUGGGCGCAAGCCUGAUCCAGCCAUGCCGCGUGAGUGAUGAAGGCCCUAGGGUUGUAAAGCUCUUUCACCGGUGAAGAUAAGGACGGUAACCGGAGAAGAAGCCCCGGCUAACUUCGUGCCAGCAGCCGCGGUAAUACGAAGGGGGCUAGCGUUGUUCGGAUUUACUGGGCGUAAAGCGCACGUAGGCGGGCUUUUAAGUCAGGGGUGAAAUCCCGGGGCUCAACCCCGGAACUGCCUUUGAUACUGGAAGUCUUGAGUAUGGUAGAGGUGAGUGGAAUUCCGAAUGUAGAGGUGAAAUUCGUAGAUAUUCGGAGGAACACCAGUGGCGAAGGCGGCUCACUGGACCAUUACUGACACUGAGGUGCGAAAGCGUGGGGAGCAAACAGG